UAGGGAAUAUUAGAAAUGGACGAAAGUCUGAUCUAGCAACACCGCGUGUGCGAAGAAGGCCUUCGGGUCGUAAAGCACUUUUUGGAAGGAAUAGGAAGGAAUGUACUUCCAGAAUAAGUCUCGGCUAACUACGUGCCAGCAGCCGCGGUAACACGUAGGAGGCAAACGUUAUCCGGAUUUACUGGGCGUAAAGCGCGUGUAGGUGGUACUGUAAGUAGGGCGUGAAAGCUCCUGGCUCAACUGGGAGAGGCCGUUCUAAACUACAGAACUAGAGGAUGGUAGAGGGAGGUGGAAUUCCAGGUGUAGCGGUGGAAUGCGCAGAUAUCUGUAGGAACACCGGUGGCGAAGGCGGCCUCCUGGACCAUUCCUGACACUCAGACGCGAAAGCUAGGGUAGCAAACG
This 402-nucleotide ribosomal RNA is filed under the name uncultured prokaryote. RNAcentral's name for it is "bacterial SSU rRNA". It matches the Rfam family "Bacterial small subunit ribosomal RNA", at positions 355 to 774 of the family's 1533-position model. The record is from RNAcentral.